Molecule: ribosomal RNA, 273 nt
Filed under: uncultured bacterium
Lineage: Bacteria
Description: partial 16S ribosomal RNA
Rfam family: Bacterial small subunit ribosomal RNA
Source: RNAcentral
AACGAACGCUGGCGGCAUGCCUAACACAUGCAAGUCGAACGAGACCUUCGGGUCUAGUGGCGCACGGGUGCGUAACGCGUGGGAAUCUGCCCUUGGGUUCGGAAUAACAGUUAGAAAUGACUGCUAAUACCGGAUAAUGUCUUCGGACCAAAGAUUUAUCGCCCAGGGAUGAGCCCGCGUAGGAUUAGCUAGUUGGUGAGGUAAAGGCUCACCAAGGCGACGAUCCUUAGCUGGUCUGAGAGGAUGAUCAGCCACACUGGGACUGAGAUACGG